Molecule: long non-coding RNA, 330 nt
Organism: Lycium barbarum (goji berry)
Lineage: Eukaryota; Viridiplantae; Streptophyta; Magnoliopsida; Solanales; Solanaceae
Exons: 3
Source: RefSeq, a predicted model, not a curated record
AAACACAACUCCAUCUCCCAAAAUCCCUUAACCUAAAAUUCCUAAACCUAACUUCAUCAAGAAAACUAUUACGUCAAAGAACAAUUAUGCAUCGCAUAUCUGAACUUCGAUUUCCUGGAGUUUGUGGAUGCUAGGUGAUUUUUGUCCGAACCUAAUUCCAAAACUCUCCCUUAAGUUUGUUUUGAAUCUAUUCUUCAAUGGUGAUUGGAAGUUAAGUAUCAACCAGAAGCAGAAGCAUCUAGCCAUAAUUUAGAUGAAUUGUCCAAGAGAGUUUAUUUCUUCAGAAACGGCAAGUCCAUUGAAUCUAAACUCAUAUGAGGUUGGCACUUU